This is a non-coding RNA of Paramuricea clavata, 884 nucleotides long. The record is from the annotation of a GenBank genome assembly. Lineage: Eukaryota; Metazoa; Cnidaria; Anthozoa; Malacalcyonacea; Plexauridae.
UUCAAUAUUGAAUAAAAAUAUUCGAUGAUUUCAAAAUGAGUACAAAUAUAGAAACUCAAUUCUUCAUUGUUUGCUUUGUUUUCACAUCCAACGUUUUAGCGGGUGAGUAUUACUUAAACAUGUUAUUUGUUUUACAGUAUUGCAUGGAUUUUUACAGGGCAAUUACAAGAUCGCUUUUCCUGUUUGUAUUUACAAAGUAAAGUGGUAGCCUGAGGUUGAAUACUUACUUCUGGUAAACAAUCUAUUUUUAUAUAGUUAUCCUAGACUAUAAUAGUUGUCUCAACACAUACAAUACGAUUCAGAUCAGAAAUUCACGUCUGUCAAAACGAAAUUUCUUUGACUGUGGUUACACCGUUCUUGAUAAAGUUAUUUUCCAUACUAUUUGGUUGUGUGAACUCCUCCCCGUAAACAUUGCAUGAUAUGCCACGUAUUCAAGUAAAAUGGACGUUUGUACAACAAUAGUGGCAUCUUGUUACGCUUUCGGAAUGUUUCAAUGACCAUUACUAUCUUCAUUGGUCCAGCGUCGCUUGACGUAUUUGUGACGCAAUUUGUACAUUGGGAGAUUAAUUAUUUUCCUCUUUAGAUUACAACCCAGUUGCACCAAAAGGAAUGCUCAAAGAAAAGCACAUAAUCAGGUUCUGCCUCAAUAAACCUUGCCAUAUGUUGUUGCAUCUAAACGGAAUCAAGUUCGAACCAGGCUGUAAAUACAUUUGUCCCAGGCCUUGUACAUGUUUACCUACUUCUCAACAUCCCUGUCUUUGCUGUCAAUGUACGCCAAAUCCACCACCAAAAUUUAAGCUUGACAUACCACCCACUUUACCACAUCCACCACAAAUUCCACCAGAGUUAAUGCCAGGCGUCCCUCCAUCGCAAGUAAACCUACC